This 7131-nucleotide long non-coding RNA is filed under the name Citrus x clementina. RNAcentral's name for it is "Citrus clementina (C. clementina) long non-coding RNA (CCLE_LNC002793)". The record is from RNAcentral. Lineage: Eukaryota; Viridiplantae; Streptophyta; Magnoliopsida; Sapindales; Rutaceae.
UAUGUUAUAUUCAUUUGUAUAAAAAUGUACAGUUCUAUCCUCACUCUUAUUUUAUUUUUAUUAUUUUUUCAGAAAAUGGUAUGCGUUAUUAAGGUUAAGGGUGACAACUGGGAUCAAUAUACGGUUUAUUCGAGUGCUUAAAACCUAAUAAAUAUCCACUAACUCAUAUUUAAUUAAAAUAUAAUUAUUUUUAAAUAAAAAAAUUUAAUAUAAACUAAACAAAUUGAUUGGAUUUUGUUUCUAAAGGUACAUCAUUAGAACGUUACCUUUAAUUGAACAAAAGCACACAUAACUAGCACAUUCGCCACAAAAGCCUCAGCUUAGUGGUCGGCUUAUUAAUUAUCUUAAUAAAAUCAUGGUCAUAAAUUUGAGUCCCCGUAGGAAUUAUUAGGUUAGGUAGCUUUUUUAGACUACAAAAGCUUUUUUAGACUACUCAUUCAUUUAAUUUUCCGUUAUAUAUAUUCAUCUUUUUUAGAGGCCAAGAAGUCUUCGACAGAAAUGUGAUCUUUUUCUAGUUGCCUCCCGGUGAUGAGCUUCUCCCAAGUUUCAAUUAAUUCGCUUUGAGUGAGGAUAUUUUCUGGUGGCCUCAAAUACAAUGUCUUGUUCAGCACUCAAGGGUCAUCUAUUGUCUUAAUAGUAUAUGUGGCAACAUCAUCAAGAUGCACUAUAGAAAAAAAGAUAAUCAUUUUGUUUAAUAUGAACAUAAAUUCUUACAGUCUAACUCAUAUUAUAGUGAACGAUGCUGUUAUGUGGUGCGUGCAUGCACUAUCUAUAGUUUUAAUAUUAUUAAUAAAGAGUUAAAAGUCUUGAUUUAAUUUUAAAUUGUCAUUCCUCUAACUUCACCGUCUUCAUAGAUGCAGACUUUAUCUUUUGAAGGGUGAGGGUAGCUAUAUUUGAGAGAGGUGUCUAGGGAACCAACCAGCAAAAAACAGCUAGCAGAAACAUAAAUGACAGGGAUUUGAGCAGCCUUGAUUGCCCUUCUCACACAUGCGCUCUGCGUUCUCCCUCCCGCUCUCACUCACUCACGCCCAAAUCUCACCUCACUCACGCAUCUCUCCUUCUGACCGGUGGUUUUCUCUCUCUCGCCGUGGGUCUCAAGGCUGGCAGGGAUUUCUCGACUUGACUACUAAAACAUAAUCCAAAAACUACUAAGAGAUGUAUAUAUUACUCUGAUAUACACAAUAUGAAGAAACUGCAGUUAUAUUUCAAAUAUUAUAUGAAGGAAGAGGCUGUAUGGAUUAUCUAAAGGUGCUGAAAUUAAGAGACCUAUUGAAAAGUCAUGCAUGUGGUAAUUUUUCAAAGAGCUACCAAACAUUUGAAGAAAAAAUGGAAAGUUGGCAAAUUUGUCAAAUUUGCCAAAUGGACACCAUUGACUAUUGGCUUAGGUUAGGUGGAAUGGUAAAGGGGUUGGUGCAAUAGUGCCAUUAUUUUUCCUAUAAAUAGAUGGCACUUUUUCCAUUCUUUUGCAUCCCAAAAUUGUUAAGCUUAUAAGUUUCUAAGCUUUUGAGAGAAGUGAGAGAAGUGUGUCUGGGGAAUUUAUCUUUCCUGCAGAGUGUGAGAGUACUGGGUAUAUUUUGGGUUUCUGGGAAGUGAGAUUCGUUACUCAAAUAUUGUACUCUAUUAAUUGUUAAAUAAACAAUUAUUCUUUCUUGCCUCCGUGGAUGUAGGUUUAAUUACCGAACCACAUAAUUCUUGUGUCCUUUAUUUUUUCUAUAAUUAUUUGGUGCGCUUGAUUCCGCAUUCCAAGCACAACAAGUGGUAUCAGAGCCGAAGGUUCGUACUUGGGGGGAUACGGUACUGUUCACGUAUACGGUACUAUUCCCAUAUACGGUACUGUUCACGAAUACGGUGGAGACGGCCAUUUGUACUUGGGAGACAGUCUAUUGUAAGUAGUGUGUAUUUUUGCAUGUUUAGGAAAGUUCUGUCAACAAAGGCGAUAAGAGUCUAAGGAUUCUGGUUUUUAAUUGGGACCGAGUUCCCGUCCAGUUUCUUGGGAACUUUCCUGGUGCAUUUAUUCAUGCGAAAUUAACAUCAUAGAGACUGUUUUUCAAGUGGAAAUAGUUCGUUGAGAAAAUGGUAGAAGGUGAAACUUCCAGAAUUGGGGAGAGAUCUACCGAGACUAUUUCAGGAGACACUUCAGGUGGGAGACGAGAUUUGUCAAAUCGCUAUUCAGCACCUGUUAUAGGAGGUCAGAAGAUCGAUGUUGAAAAGUUUGAUGGGAAAAUCAACUUCGGCAUGUGGUGGCGCGAAGUUAUGGAUGCCCUUAUUCAAAUCGAUCUCGAUGUUGUUCUGAAAAAUAAAAGACACUUGUAUGAUGAAGAAAUUUGGGAUCGUAUGAAUGAAAAAGCUUGUGGUUAGAUCAGAUCUUGUUUGACCAAGGAGGUGAAAUACUUGGUGAAAGAUGAGGAGUGUGCGGUAACUUUGUGGCGUACAUUAGAGGAAAAGUACUUGGUGAAAAGUCCUGAAAAUCGCCUUCAUGCAAUGAGCCAAGUAUAUGGUUUUCGAAUGAAGCCUGGGGUGUCAAUGCACGAUCAUGUUUCAAGAUUUGAAAAGUUACUUGCUGAUUUGAAGAAUCUUGAUGAAGAUAUUAAGGAUGAAGUCAAGGCUAUGAUUCUGUUACACUCACUACCAGAGGAAUAUAGCCAUUUUGUGACUACUUUGAUAUAUGGGAAGAGUGUGAUCGUCUUCAAAGAUGUUUGCACAACAUUGACUAGCUUAGAGAUUCGGAAUAAUGAUAAAAAUUCUGAACGAGCAUCGUCUGAAGCUUUAGUGAGCAGAGAUUGGGCGAUGGAGAAACAGAAGAAGCGUGGUGGAAAGAACUCUCGAUCCAAAUCGAGAAGCAGAAAUAUAGCUCGAGAUGAGUGUGCCUUUUGUCAUGAAAAGGGCCAUUAGAAGAAAGAUUAUCCAAAUGCUCAAAAGAGAGAUGGGAAGAAACCAGCAGCAGCAAACAUGGCACGGAAAGAUGAGGGAUCUGAUUAUUCACUAAGUAUUACUCCUGCAGCAUACGUGGCUAGUUCGAGCGAGUGGAUACUUGAUACUGGAGCAACCUAUCAUUUGUGUCCCAUUAAGGAAUGGUUUACGGAUUUCAACGUAUUGGAAUCUGGUGCAGUUGUGAUGGGGAAUGAUCAACCUUGUCGCACAAUGGGGAUAGUAACAAUUCGGCUCAAAAUGUUUGAUGGAAUGGUCAGAGAACUCAAAAAGGUUAGAUUUGUUUCAGCUUUAAAGAAAAAUCUAAUUUCUGUGGGUGCUUUAGAAGCUAAAGGCUACAAGGUUACCAUUGAAGAUGGUAUAAUGAAGUUUACACAUGGGGCUAUGGUGAUUCUGCAAGGGGUUCGGCGUCACAAUCUGUACUAUUUGAAGAGAGGUACAACUGAUGAAGCAAAUGUUGUUGAGGCACACAGUGACACCACCAAGCUAUGGCAUGUACGACUAGGACAUGCUAGAGAGAAGUCUUUGCAAACUCUGAUAAGGCAUGGACUCUUAAAAGGUACCAAAACCUGUAAAUUAAAUUUUUGUGAGCAUUGUGUAGUAGGCAAGAAAACAAGGGUUAAGUUUGGUACAGCUAAUCACGAUACUCGUGAGAUCCUUGAAUAUGUUCAUAGUGAUGUAUGGGGACCAACCAAGACUGCAUCAAUUGGUGGAAGCCAUUAUUUUGUUACAUUUGUUGAUGAUUUCUCUAGAAGUGUGUGGGUGUACACCAUGCGAGCAAAUGAUGAGGUUCUAGAGAUUUUCGUGAAAUGGAAGAAAUUGGUGGAGACUCAAACUGGAAGAAAGAUCAAAGUAUUACGAUAUGAUAAUGGGGGUGAAUAUACUUCUGAUCCAUUCUUGCAAGUAUGCCAGAACGAGGGUAUUAAAAGACAUUUCACAGUGAGACAUACUCCGCAACAGAACGGUGUGGCUGAGCGUAUGAAUCGUACUUUACUGGAGAAGGUAUGGUGUAUGUUAUCUAAUGCUGGUUUAGAUAAAAAGUUUUGGGCUGAAGUUGUGAGCUACGCAAGUCACUUGGUAAACCGGUUGCCUUCUGCUGCAAUUGGAGGUAAAACUCCUAUGGAAAUGUGGUCUGGAAAGCAUGCACAAGACUAUGAUUCCCUUCGUAUAUUCGGGUGUCCAGCUUAUUAUCAUGUCAAAGAUGGUAAACUAGAUCCUCGUGCUAGAAAAGCUAUCUUUGUGGGAUUCAAAGGUGGAGUAAAGGACUUCAAGCUUUGGGAUCUCGAAGAUAAAAAGUUUGUGUGUAGCAGAAAUGUCACAUUUGAUGAAGCUUCAAUGAUGAAAGCUUCAAGUUCUCAGCAGGUGGAGAACAAGACCAAAGAGGUAUUGCUGCGGGUGGAGUUUGAUGCAACUCCAUAUGUACCAGUUAGUUCUACAUCAAAGAAGAGUUCAACUAUAGAGGUGACACCUAGAGUUGAAGAAGAGGUUGUUUCUUCUGAUGUCCCACAAAAUGAAGAAACAAUUGAUAAUGUAGAUAAUGAUGAUUUUAUAGCAACAAGGAGGCUAAGAAGAGAGAUAAAGAAACCCGGAUGGCUUACUAAAGAUAUGGUGGUAGCCUAUGCACUUCCAGUUAUUGAUGAUGACAUCCCCAACACUUUCGGUGAAGCAUUACGCAGCAGUGAAAGUGAUCAGUGGAAGUUAGCCAUGGAGGAAGAGAUGAAAUCUCUCCAUCAAAACCAGACUUGGGAACUUGUAAAGUUACCAAAAGGGAAAAAGGCUAUUGGCAAUAAAUGGGUCUACACCAAAAAGCAAGGAUCUCCGAAUAAAAUAACUCCUCGAUACAAGGCAAGGCUCGUGGCAAAAGGUUUUGCUCAAAAGGAAGGUAUUGACUACAAUUAAGUUUUCUCUCCAGUUGUAAAACAUACUUCCAUUCGUAUCCUACUUGCCUUAGUUGCAGAAUAUGAGUUAGAGUUGGCUCAAUUGGAUGUUAAGACCGCGUUCAUACAUGGAGAUUUGGAGGAGGAAAUCUAUAUGAUUCAGCCUUGUGGUUUCAAAGUUGCUGGAAAAGAGAAUCAUGUGUGUAGGUUGAUUAAAUUUUUGUACGGACUGAAGCAAUCGCCAAGGCAGUGGUAUAAAAGAUUUGAUCAAUUUAUACAAGGGCAGAAAUUCACCAGAAGUGAACACGAUCAUUGUGUUUACUUUAGAAGACUACCAGAUAGAGCUUUCAUCUAUUUGUUACUCUAUGUCGAUGAUAUGCUUAUAGCUUCGAAGAAUAGAGAUGAGAUCGAAAGAUUAAAAAAGCAACUGGCUUCUGAGUUUAAGAUGAAAGACUUGGGUGAUGCACAGAGAAUACUUGGGAUGGAGAUUCGUAGAGACAAGAAGAAUGGGAGCGUAUGGUUGACUCAAAAGUCUUAUUUGAAGAAAGUGCUAGAAAGAUUCGGUAUGGAUGACAAAACUAAACCAGUAUGUACACCUCUAGCUUCUCAUUUCAAAUUAAGCUUUUCUUCAUGUCCUAGAUCUCAAGAGGAGCGUGAUUAUAUGGCUCGUGUUCCAUAUGCUAGUGCUGUGGGUAGUCUUAUGUAUGCUAUGGUAUGCACAAGGCCCGAUAUAUCUCAAGCAGUGAGCAUGGUUAGUAGAUACAUGCAAAAUCCGGGUAAAAAUUAAUGGCUUGCGGUAAAGUGGAUUCUCCGAUAUCUGUAUGGGACAGUUGAUGUUGGGUUAUUGUUCAAGAAGGAUUGUGGUCAACAAUGUGUUGGGUAUUGUGAUUCUGAUUUCGCUGGAGACCUUGACAAGCGAAGAUCAACAACGUGCUACGUAUUCACAUUGGGUGGAGGUCCGGUUAGCUGGAGGUCGAUUCUACAAUCGACAAUUGCUCUGUCCACUGCGGAAGCAGAGUAUAUGGCAGCAACUGAAGCUAUAAAAGAAGCUAUCUGGUUGAAAGGUUUAUUAGGUGAUUUGGGAGUAAUCCAGGAGAACAUUGCGGUCUUAUGUGAUAAUCAAAGUGUGAUAUUCCUUGCGAAGAAUCAAACAUAUCACGCUCGGACGAAGCACAUAGAUGUGAAAUAUCAUUAUGUGAGAGAGAUUAUCGAGAGCGGUGUUGUGUUGUUGAGAAAGAUCGAUACCAAAGAUAAUCCAUUAGAUAUGUUGACGAAGGUAGUUUCUGGAGUUAAGUUUCAACAUUGCUUGAAAUUAAUUCAAAUCCUUCGAUUGUGUUAAGAUAUGUCCUUCGGGAAUUUUGAACUACGGUUGGCUUGAUCCCAAAUUUUGGGUACGUAGGCAGUCAUAGAGAUGCAGCCACUUUGGGGAUGAUGAUUGGUUGGUAGUCGGCUCAGAUUUGGACAAAUUUUCACCGAGGUGGAGAAUUGUUGAAAAGUCAUGCAUGUGGCAAUUUUUCAAAGAGCUACCAAACAUUUGAAGAAAAAAUGGAAAGUUGGCAAAUUUUUCAAAUUUGCCAAAUGGACCCCAUUGACUAUUGGUUUUAUGUUAGGUGGAAUAGUAAAGGGGUUGGUGCAAUAGUGCUAUUAUUUUUCCUAUAAAUAGAUGGCACUUCUUCCAUUCUUUUGCAUCCCAAAAUUGUUAAGCUUAUAAGUUUCUAAGCUUUUGAGAGAAGUGAGAGAAGUGUCUGGGGAAUUUAUCUUUCCUGCAGAGUGUGAAGUACUGGGUAUAUUUUGGGUUUAUGGGAAGUGAGAUUUGUUACUCAAAUAUUGUACUCUAUUAAUUGUUAAAUAAACAAUUAUUCUUUCUUGCCUCCGUGGAUGUAGGUUUAAUUACCGAACCACGUAAUUCUUGUGUCCUUUAUUUUUUCUAUAAUUAUUUGGUGCGCUUGAUUCCGCAUUCCGCGCACAACAAGACCCACACCAACCGACAGACCCCCGGUGAUAGAGAGAAAGUCGACUGUGAGAUGCAUUCAAGACGGGGGAAGAGUGAGAGAGAAAACUGCCCGGUCAGAAGGAGAGAUGCAUGAUUGAGGUGAGAGAUUUGGGCGUGAGUGAGUGAGGAGUGAGGGAGAGGGUGCCGCGUGUGUGGGAUGCGUACAAUGACAAUUUAUACUUACAUCAAAACGCCGCGUUCGGUGCCAUGUGUAGGGCUAACUGUGGUUUGAAUCUCACUUUGGUAAUGGAAAUGACUUUGCAAUUGACAGUUUUUGUCAAAAGUUCGCACUGCAUGAAACUAGUGUUAAUAUAAUUUAAAAAAUUAAUUUCA